Molecule: small nucleolar RNA, 104 nt
Organism: Cebus imitator (Panamanian white-faced capuchin)
Lineage: Eukaryota; Metazoa; Chordata; Mammalia; Primates; Cebidae
Product: small nucleolar RNA U13
Exons: 1
Source: RefSeq, a predicted model, not a curated record
AUCCUUUUAUAGUUUAUAAGUAUGAUGACUGAGUUUUCACACUCAUGUCUGAGAUGUACCUCCUUCAAACCUUAUAAUGACAUGGGCACAUUGCCCACCUGAAG